This 423-nucleotide ribosomal RNA is filed under the name Triticum aestivum (bread wheat). RNAcentral's name for it is "partial small subunit ribosomal RNA". Lineage: Eukaryota; Viridiplantae; Streptophyta; Magnoliopsida; Poales; Poaceae. The record is from RNAcentral.
AUGAGUCGACCACAAAAAUUGAACGCCCGAGCAACUAAGAUCGGGGAUGCGGUCAUCAGGGUCGUCUGCAUAUCAACACUCCCUGGAACAAAGCUAUCAGUUGCAAUGCACUUUAUGGGGAACUCAGUUAGAACAAUACGUGAAGUAUUUUUGCCACACAUGAUGUGCCUUCCUAUAGAGUUGCCCGUAACAAAGCACUUCCAGGGAUCAGGAGACCCAGCCAUGGGGGGAAACGAGGAGAAGGUCGGGGUGAGCUCCUCCAUGGAUCCGGUAUCGACCACCGUGGCCACCUCGCUGGUGUUGUCGGUGGUGGCCGGGAAUGCAGUGUCGGUUCUGGCCAUGGCCGGAUCCGAGGAGCACAACAAUGGGAGAUUGGGGAGGGAGAAGAACGGCGAUGGUGGAGGCCCCCCUCCGUCGAUCUAG